GAAGCAAAGACUUCAGUCCAGAAGUUGACUAAUGAAGGCAUUUAUAUUGAAUCCUUAAGUGAAGAGGACAAGAAGUGUUAAGUGUUAUGACAUCUGAAAAAGUACAGAGACUUGAUUCUUAAAUCUACAACAGCGACUUCUAGAUUCUACUCAACCUCUAUGUAGCUUUUACAGAUCCCUGUCUUAUAAAACACCGACAGUUGAGUGGAGUGAGGCACUACCAACAAUGUGGCUGCCAUGUGCUCAGAACAGAAUAGAGAAUUUGAACACAGAGUGGAAUAUCAUAUGAUGAAUGAAUGAAGAUUUGACUUCAAGUUCUUUUUUAUCAUCAGUAGUGGCUCGACCCAAUCUUUGUGCUAUGUUUCCUGGACUGAAAGAAGUAGUAAUUCAUCUCUUGCUACUCCCAGAAUGAUGUAGGCAGAGU
This is a long non-coding RNA of Chelonia mydas (Green sea turtle), 424 nucleotides long. RefSeq lists it as uncharacterized. Lineage: Eukaryota; Metazoa; Chordata; Testudines; Cheloniidae. The record is from RefSeq and is a predicted model, not a curated record. The transcript is spliced from 3 exons.